This 1661-nucleotide unclassified non-coding RNA is filed under the name Meloidogyne enterolobii. The record is from RNAcentral. Lineage: Eukaryota; Metazoa; Nematoda; Chromadorea; Rhabditida; Meloidogynidae.
GCUCUCCGGUGUCGGAAGGCAAAAUGUAUGCCACUUUUUGUGGUAGUACAAGCCCCAGUAUCUGGCAUUUUCUUUCUACUAUAAUUGGUAGUUGUUUGCUAAAAGCUUAGCACUCCACGUGCAGGUGUAACGUCGGGGCGCAAAAUCACUUGUAUACGACUUGAAUACUGGUCAGGGGGUUGUAAACAGUAGAGCAGCUCUUCGCUGCGAUCUGCUGAGACUUAGCCCUUGAUCGGAUGAUUUGUCUUUUUUAUAUACUAUAGACAUGUUUAUCCAAGUGCCGUAGGCCAGAGUGCAUUGUCAAAAGUAGACCCAGGCAAUCAAAUUUCACCAGGCAUUUUUGGUUUAUGAGUCUGUGACGAUCCGAUUAAAAAUUGCCUCAGGCAAAGUAGACCAAAGUGCAAUUGACCAAGUGUCGUAGGGUAAUAGGGUUCCCCCAGGCAAUCAAAUUUCACCAGGCAUUUUUGGUUUAUGAGUCUGUGACGAUCCGAUUAAAAAUUGCCUCAGGCAAAGUAGACCAAAGUGCAAUUGACCAAGUGUCGUAGGGUAAUAGGGUUCCCCCAGGCAAUAAUUAUCUACUCAAGUAUACUCAAGUAAAAAUCAUUUACUCAAGUAUAAAAUCAUUUACUCAAUUAUACUCAAGUAAAAGGUAUGUAUAUAAUAUAGGGUUCCCCCAGGCAAUCAUUAUCUACUCAAUUAUACUCAAGUAAAAGGUAUGUACAUGAUAAACUACAAUUUAUAAAAAACUUAAAUAAUUUUUUCUAUAGACUCAAGUGUGUUUUCUUAGACUCAAAUUUUUGCCAAAGCAUUAAAAAAAGAUUACGACACCCCCGAUUCCCAGGACGUCUCCGUUCCAAGUACUAAGGAAGCCCAGCGUCGCUUAACUUGCCAGAUCGGACGGGAUGGCGUGCUUUCAACGCGGUAUGGUCGUAAUCACUGUGUUUUCAAUUUCUCAAUAUUUAAGAAAAAAUUCUCUAAGGCAAAGUGGGCGGGGCUAUUUGUUGUUCGCUGUUCGCGGGAAUGGUUUAAGGCAAAAAGAAAAUGGGCAAUUAUAAAAAUGUGUGGGAGGAAAAUUAGGAUUAAAAAAAUUUUUUUGAAGAAUUAAAUUUUUUAAAAAAAAUAAAGCUUAUAAUAAUAAACUUUAAUCUUUUUUUAAAUUUAAAGUUUAUUAUUAUAAGCUUUAUUUUUUUAAAAAAUUUACUGUUAUUAUUAUAUUAAGCUUUAUUAUCAGUUUAUUUUAAAGCAGCUUUAUUCUAAAUCUGAUAAUAAUCAUAAGCUUUAUAAUCCUAAUUUUUCUCCAGCUGCAAUAUUUAUUUGGCUCCAGACAAUUGUCAGGAAUUGCCAUUGAUAACUUUUGUGAAAGUGCCGCUGAUAAAUUGUAAAUAAUUUAGAUAUCUUUUGCAAAGGAAAUUAAAUAUAUAAUAAGCUGUCAUUAAUUUUUAAUUUCAGAUUAUUUUCGAGAUUUUAUUCCAAAAUUAUCAAUAUAAUCAAUAUUAAUGACAGCUUAAUUACCCGCAGACUGGGUAAUUCCAGCUCUGCUAACUACCUAAAUAAAAGAUAUCUGGUUGAUCCUGCCUGAACUGAUGUGUUCAUUUCAAAGAUUAAGCCAUGCAUGUAUAAGUUUAAUCGUUUUAACGAGAAACCGCGUACGGCUCAUUAGA